This 425-nucleotide ribosomal RNA is filed under the name uncultured bacterium. RNAcentral's name for it is "bacterial SSU rRNA". It matches the Rfam family "Bacterial small subunit ribosomal RNA", at positions 1 to 439 of the family's 1533-position model. The record is from RNAcentral.
UAGUGAUUGAGUUUGAUCAUGGCUCAGAAUGAACGUUGGCGGCGUGGAUUAGGCAUGCAAGUCGCACGGGCCGCAAGGCCAGUGGCGCAAGGGUGAGUAAGGCGACGGUAACCAACCCCGGGAUUGGGGAUAGCCGUGGGAAACCGCGGGUAAUCCCCAGCGACGUCGGUCGGUGGCAUCACCGACAGACCAAAGUUCCGGCGUCCCGGGACGGGCCGUCGUGGUAUUAGGUGGUUGGCGGGGUGACGGCCCACCAAGCCUGCGAUGCCUACCGGGCGUGCGAGCGUGGCCCGGCACACUGGGACUGAGACACUGCCCAGACUCCUACGGGAGGCUGCAGUCGAGAAUCUUCGGCAAUGGGCGCAAGCCUGACCGAGCGACGCCGCGUGGAGGAUGAAGGCCUUCGGGUUGUAAACAAUCGAAUU